This 443-nucleotide ribosomal RNA is filed under the name uncultured bacterium. Its description in RNAcentral is "partial 16S ribosomal RNA". It matches the Rfam family "Bacterial small subunit ribosomal RNA", at positions 338 to 795 of the family's 1533-position model. The record is from RNAcentral.
CCUACGGGUGGCAGCAGUGGGGAAUAUUGGGCAAUGGAGGCAACUCUGACGCAGCAACGCCGCGUGAAUGAUGAAGGUCUUCGGAUUGUAAAGUUCUGUGAUGGGGGAUGAACACAAUGACGGUACCCCAAUAGCAAGCCACGGCUAACUACGUGCCAGCAGCCGCGGUACUACGUAGGUGGCAACCUUUAGCCGGAAUGACUGGGCGUAAAGGGGGCGGAGGUGGGUUAGUAAGUUUGCGGGGUAAUUCCGGGGCUCCACCUCGGCGCUACCGCCAAAACUAUUAGGCUGGAGUGCAGGAGUGGUAAGUGGAAUUCCUAGUGUAGCGGUGGAAUGCGUAGAUAUUAGGAGGAACAUCAGUGGCGAAGGCGACUUACUGGACUGUAACUGACACUGAGGCACGAAAGCGUAGGGAGCAAACAGGAUUAGAUACCCUUGUAGUC